GUGUGAUGGUCUCUACAUGCAUGGUUCCACCGUGAAGCAUGGAGGAGGAGGUGUGAUGGUCUCUACAUGCAUGGUUCCACCGUGAAGCAUGGAGGAGGAGGUGUGAUGGUCUCUACAUGCAUGGUUCCACCAUGAAGCAUGGAGGAGGUGUGAUGGUCUCUACAUGCAUGGUUCCACCAUGAAGCAUGG
This is a long non-coding RNA of Acanthochromis polyacanthus (spiny chromis), 189 nucleotides long. RefSeq lists it as uncharacterized. The record is from RefSeq and is a predicted model, not a curated record. The transcript has 3 exons. Lineage: Eukaryota; Metazoa; Chordata; Actinopteri; Pomacentridae.